This 158-nucleotide unclassified non-coding RNA is filed under the name uncultured Ascomycota. Its description in RNAcentral is "sequence contains ITS1". Lineage: Eukaryota; Fungi; Ascomycota. The record is from RNAcentral.
CAGAGUUAUCUAACUCCCAAACCCAUGUGAACUUACCUUUGUUGCCUCGGCAGUCUGGGCGAGCCUACCCUGUAGCUGCUUACCCUGUACCGACUGCCGGUGGACUACCAAACUCUUGUUAUUUUUAAGUAAUCUGAGCGUCUUAUUUUAAUAAGUCA